RNAcentral lists this long non-coding RNA (352 nucleotides) under Bos taurus (domestic cattle). Its description in RNAcentral is "long non-coding RNA NONBTAT008045". Lineage: Eukaryota; Metazoa; Chordata; Mammalia; Artiodactyla; Bovidae. The record is from RNAcentral.
CCCCAUUACAACAAUAAGUUCACAGAUGUAUUUGAAUAAAUAGACUGAAAAGUGAGAUUCAAGUAAGACGGCAGCAGUUCCACAUUCAAACAAUAACUUUCUUGUUAGCAUAUGCUUUUUCCACAGUUAGGGAAAUUCAAAACAGACAAAACUAUUAACUGCUUUACUUAUUCAUUGUAAGCAUGCUUGCUACAGGAAGAACCUUUGCAUGUAUAGAACUCAGAGUCAAACAUGGAGCUUUUAGAAUUUAAGUACGCAUGUUUACUUAAUACAGAUCAAACCAGUCAAUCAUAAUAUCCACAUUACCCGAAAGAUAGUAAAUAACAACAGGGCUGAUCACUGUUAGAGCAAU